UACAGAGGUCCCGAGCGUUGUUCGGAUUCAUUGGGCGUAAAGGGUGUGUAGGCGGCUAGGUAAGUCAGGUGUGAAAUCUCACAGCUUAACUGUGAAACUGCGCUUGAUACUGCUUAGCUAGAGGAUCGGAGGGGGUAACGGAAUUCAUGGUGUAGCAGUGAAAUGCGUAGAUAUCAUGAGGAACACCGGUGGCGAAGGCGGUUACCUGGAAGAUUCCUGACUCUGAAACACGAAAGCCAGGGGAGCAAACGGG
RNAcentral lists this ribosomal RNA (253 nucleotides) under uncultured bacterium. RNAcentral's name for it is "partial 16S ribosomal RNA". It matches the Rfam family "Bacterial small subunit ribosomal RNA", at positions 524 to 776 of the family's 1533-position model. The record is from RNAcentral.